UUAUCCCUGACUGCUCCAUUGCAGUGUUGGGUGUAGCUGCUAUUUGUAGCUUGGUUGCAAUACGUUAUCCUUCUUGAAGAUGGCUGGAUGCUUACAAUGUUGUUUGUCAUCCUUGGCUACUCUUGCUAGCUUAUGCCUGUGUCUAUGGGAAUGUACCAGUGGCUGCCAAUCCUUAUGCAGGGUGAUCUGUUGGCGUGCCUCUGAUCUGCAAUAGAGGAGCUUGGUGAAGCAUUUCGGGUGGCAUUUGUCAUCUCUGCUGAGUGAAUAUGGUUUGCUAGAGUGGUCGUGUUCCACUAAUACUGGCCUCUGAGCUGGACAGUGUGUGCGUUUGUUGGUUGGAAGCAAUGUUUUGUUGGCCAGCUGUUCAAGAGCUGCCACCCUUCUCCAGCCGUUUUCUGUGUUGAUGUCUGAGACUGUUGCCGGUUUUUGGGACUCCAGGUGGCCUGAUGCUGUCUGCCUGUUGAGGGGAUCAAUGAGGGUGAGGCUCUCUCCCCAUAGAUUUGAUCUCCCCCAAUUCCUGGAUGCAUAGUUUUCGCAAGAUUGGGGCUUGCUGUCUGAUUGCUUGGUAAAGGGAUUCAUUUGGGUGAGGCUCUCUCCCCACUUAACACCCUUGCACGUUGCUGUUCUAGAGCUGCUGUUUGCUGGUCAGAGAUCCGGUUGGGUGAGGCUCUCUCCCCAAUUGUUUGGUCCUCUUGCUGGCUGCUCUCCUAGAGCUGCUGGUUUGUGUGGCUGCUGGAGAUGACUUCCAGCCAGGAUUGCUGUUUUGUUUGUCCAGGCCUGCAGGUCCUCUGCAGAUUGCUUGUGAUGUUGGCCCUCUUGGGGCUGGUCUUGGUUACAAGGAUUGUUGUUUUGAUGCUGCCGGUUUUUGGGACUUUUCCUCCCUAACCGGUUCUCUAAUGGUUUGCUAGAGCUGCUGUGUUCUUCUCUGGCUUGUUUCUGUUUCUUGUCCUUUCGCUAGCUUUGGUUGGUGGAGGGUUGGUCUCAUUGGAUGUUGUCCUAUAUGGGUGAUAUAAUGACAGUGCCGUUUGCUGCUGCACCUCGUCUCAGCUGCUGCUGUAAUGUGCUGUAUGCUGGGUUGGAAAGAGCUUUGCUGCGGGUUUUUUGGGUCUCCUGACUGAAGUUUUCAUUGUAUGCUAGUUUGUUUUGCUUUCUGGCUUUGAUACAUGUUCAAGGGAGCCUGUUCCCUUUGUGAUCCAGGGAGUCUGUUCCCUUAGUUUUCAGAGUCUUACUUUUGGUUUUUACAAAGGAGUCUGUUCCCUUAGUUUUCAGAGUCUUACUUUUGGUUUGUACAAGGGAGUCUGUUCCUUUUGCCUUCUGUUCUGCAAGCUUGUCUUGCUUUUGAUUUGGUCAAGGGAUUUUGUUCCCUUUUCCUUGUAUUGCUGGUCUCCAGCUCUUUUUGAUCUAUACAAUACUUACAUUUGAUAAAAAAAAAAAAAAAAGAUUGAGAUCUGAUUUUGGAAAGCCGAAAUAGGUCUGAUAGGAGUGUGACACAAUGAAAAUCUGUCCCAAGGCACCAACACUAUUGAAAUGAGUAGAAUGAUGCCACGAAGCCAGUUAAUCUUCGAUAAGGCAAACUCAAUUCGUUCAAGAAUUGAAGAAUGCAAGAAUCACUCUGAUACAAUAAAACUAAAAAAUUCAGAAGUAAUAUUCAUCAAUGGCUCUGAAAUUUUGGUUAAAAUGAGUUUAAAUAGUUCUAGAAAAAUUAACCCUAAUGGACCCUAAUGAGUUUAAAUGGUCCUCUCAAAACUGACCCAAAAACCCUAAACUUGAUCCAAACAAGACUUGGAUUCUAGCUGAAAAAUAAAAUAUGAAUUAAGACCAAACAUGAAAGAAAAUAAUAAAAAUAAUUAAUAUGUCAUUGGAUUCUAGAUGAAUAAGGAAUUCUUAUAAGAAAAGGAUUCUAAAAUAUUAAUUAAUACAUGUUCUGACCUAUAUUGCAAGUUCUUCUCGAACUUUAAUCCACUUGAAACUUUACCCCAACAUAAACCAAUACCUUUGGGAUCUUCAGGUCAAGUUUCAGCUCGCUCCAAUGGUUGGAUUUGGAGUUAUACUCAAAAGCGUAAGAUAGGAUAAAAAAAUUUUACGAUAAAAUCCGAAUCUGACCUUACUUGGAUCGUAUCAAUUGGUCUGCUUAAUAGCCUAAGUGGUUAAAUACAUGUUUUGGUGUAGCAUUAUUAUUUUAACCAUUCAAUUUUCUCGAACUGUUAUGAUUGGUUGUACUUGUAGAAGGUCCAAAUUAUCAAAGUAUAAAUGAUUUUUAUGGUCAAACAACUCAGAAUAACAAUCGCAAUGACCCAAAAGGAGUAGGGAUGCUAAUGAGUAUUAGUGGGCGAGUUUCUAUUAUAUGCAUUGAUGCAAACCUCAUGUUCACGUGGUAGCAACCCACAAAUCAGAUUGAGAUCUGAUCCCCGGGAAAAGCUGGAAAUUAGUCUGAUAGAAGUGUGACACAUUGGAAAACCUGCCCCCAAAGGCACCAACCAUUAUUGGAUUGAGUAGAAUGACGCCCCCGAAGCCAGUUAAUCUUCGGAUAAGUCAGAUUCAGUUCGUUCAAGAACUGAAAAAUACAAGAAUCCCUCUCACACGUUAAAACUGAAAAAUUCAGAAGUCAUUAUCAUCAAAGCUGCCAAAAUUUUGGCUUACAUGAGUUUAAAUAGUUCUUGAAAAAUUAACCCUAAUGGACCCCUUAUGUGGACUUAUAUGAGGUCCACUCAAAACUGACCCAAAACCCUAAACUGAAAAGCCCAUAACUUAAUCCAAACAAGCCUUGGAUCCUAACUGAAAACAAAGUAUUAAGUAAGCCCAAACAAGCCUUAGGCUGUAGCUAACAAAAUAAAACAAUAAAAAUAAGUAAUUUGUCAUUAAAUACCACCAGCCCUUCUUUCCUUGUGUAGCUAGGAUGAAUAAGGAAUCCUUAUAAGAAAAGGAUUUUGAAACAUUAAUGAAUCUUUGCCACACUUGGAGAUUAUAUUGCAGCUCAUUAAAUAUCCUUGUGGAACUAGGAAAUUCCCAUAACCAGCUGCCACAUCCUUGUAGGAAAAGAAUCCUAACCAAAUAGGAAGUCCACAAGUCAAAUGGAAGUAAAUAACAAAAUUCAUACAGCCUCUGUUGACUAGUAUUGUGGUGCCUUUCGAAACUCCGAUUGACUUGAAAUUUUAACCCAUAGUAGGAAAACAUGUCUGGAGAGUCCACAUAAAAUUGUAGCUCGAUCCAACGGUCGGAUUGAGAAUUAUAACUGAUGCCGUAAACCUGGACUGUUGCGCUUUUUACGCCAAAAUCCGAAUCUAACCUUACUUGGGUCGUAUCACAAGGCUGAACCGUAUCAUUCCUUCCCUCUUCAAGAAGAUUCACCCUCGAAUCUUGAAUAGGAUUAGUAGCGACUUCAGUAGCCUCUUGUUUAAGCCUUCGGAAUUCCCUUAUUGCUAACACCUUUCUCCAACAACACUGUAUAGAGGUAGUGACUGACAAGAAUUUCAAAUAAGCACGCCGUACUAACCACUUGCGUACAUAAUUUUGAAUGAUAACCACAGCGGCUCUCCUCCGUCUUUCAUUCUUUUGGCAUUGUACCUCCUUUUCCCAUGAAGCUUGAAGAUUAUAGAAUAAUCUUCUACACUUAUCAACUUCUCGUUCUAAAACCCCCAAACCAUGGCUUAGUUUUUCGCAUCGUUGAUCAACAAUCCUUCUUUGUUCCUUCUCCCUUGGUGAAUACAUGACACAAAUAGGGAAAAAAAGAAUAAGAAGAAGACAAAGACAAGAAUAGAGUUUAAACAGGAAGAACACUGAUUUAGACUCAAGAUUGCGAAUCUGACUUUUGUUUGGACUAGAACUUAUCGAAAAAACAAACAAAUGUGAAAGUGAUGAAAAUGACUCAAACAACAGCCAUUUAUUGAAAUAUGAUGAUAGUAUAAUGGUAGGAAUGAAAUCAACAGAAACAAAACAAAUUUUGAAAGACAACACCAAACAAACCCGUUACAGCAAGACAAAACCCGAUUCUGGAACCUAAAGAAAACGCAAUCCAAAUGACCUCGAAUUUAAUAUAUAGUAUUAGUAUACCAAGAAAACAACAAAUCUCAUCUUAUAGGUCGUUCUAUUAUGUCUAGAUACCCAAACCCCGUGUAUGAUCAGUUUGCGGUAAAAUUGAACCUACAAUUAAAACCUCCAGAAGCUGAUAUUAAAACAAGCCCAAAUUUAAUAUAUGGUGCUAUCUCUUCUCUAAUACACAGAAUAUCAAGUUUCAAUUGAUUCUAAGGUGGUUUGCUUAUGGUUCACUAAGAGUAGUGUUUUUGCGGCAGAAUUGAACCUCGAAUUACAAUCUCAAGCAAACAAUAUCAGAAUAAGCCCAAAUUUUACAUAUGAUGCGAUAUCACCCCCCAUAGACUAAAUAUGAAGUUUCAAUUGAUUCUGAGGUGUUUUUCUUAUGGUUCUCCAAGAGUUGUGUUUCUGCGGCAAAAAAUUGAAUGAUCCUUCAAAUUUCAACUAAUCCCUCCCUCUCUUUCUUUUUUUCUUUUUAAUAUAUUGAUAUGAUUAGAGACAGUAACAAGAUGAAAUAUAACCCCUCUUUGUUUUUUGCUUAGAUGACACACACCCGAAGAACAAGAAGACGGACCCAAACAUUGAAAAACUUAAAGGAACACUAAAAAAAACGAAAAUAACAAAAGGAUAUGACCUUGUUUUGGAGCUUAGCUCUGAUGCCAACUGAUGCGAACCUCGUGAUCACGUAACCCACAAUCAAGAUUGAGAUCUGAUACCGGAAAGCCGAAAUAGGUCUGGUAGGAGUGUGACACAAUGGAAACCUGCCACAAGGCACCAACACUAUUGGAUUGAGUAGAAUGACACCAUGAAGCCAGUUAAUCUUCGAUAAAUCAGAUUCAGUUCGUUCAAGAACUGAAGAAUGCAAGAAUCACUCUCACACGUUAAAACUGAAAAAUUCAGAAGUCAUUAUCAUCAAAGCUGCCAAAAUUUUGGCUUACAUGAGUUUAAAUAGUUCUUGAAAAAUUAACCCUAAUAGACCCCUUAUGUGGACUUAUAUGAGGUCCACUCAAAACUGACCCAAAACUCUAAACUGAAAAGCCCAUAACUUAAUCCAAACAAGCCUUGGAUCCUAACUGAAAACAAAGUAUUAAGUAAGCCCAAACAAGCCUUGGGGCUGUAGCUAACAAAAUAAAAUAAUAAAAAUAAGUAAUUUGUCAUUAAAUACCACCAGCCCUUCUUUCCUUGUGUAGCUAGAAUGAGAGAGUUUCAAUUUUGACAGUGUCAUUCAUAAUAAGCAAACAUUUUUUCAGGCAACAAAAAGCAAAUGGUCAUAAGCUAAACUAAGCAAUUAUGCUUGGAGGACUCAUUUGUUAAUGAUUGGAGAUGAAAAUAUCGAUGUUGUGGAGCAGUAGGUUGCGGUUAGAUGGAGAUGUUAGCAAUUAAGUCAAGUACUCAGGAGAAGAUUGAAGCGGCUUGAAUAAGAUGGUAGAUGAAAGCAGUAUGUU
This 5474-nucleotide long non-coding RNA is filed under the name Populus trichocarpa (black cottonwood). Its description in RNAcentral is "long non-coding RNA (PTRI_LNC003992)". Lineage: Eukaryota; Viridiplantae; Streptophyta; Magnoliopsida; Malpighiales; Salicaceae. The record is from RNAcentral.